UAGGAAUCUUGCGCAAUGGACGAAAGUCUGACGCAGCGACGCCGCGUGGAGGAAGACGGCCCUAGGGUUGUAAACUCCUUUCAGUAGGGAAGAAAAUGACGGUACCUACGGAAGAAGCACCGGCCAACUAUGUGCCAGCAGCCGCGGUGAGACAUAGGGUGCGAGCGUUGUCCGGAAUUACUGGGCGUAAAGGGCCCGUAGGCGGUUUUUUAAGUCGGAAGUGAAAUCUCCAGGCUCAACCUGGAGCGGCCUUCCGAUACUAUUAAACUUGAGUUCGGUAGAGGAGAGUAGAAUUCUCAGUGUAGCGGUAAAAUGCGUAAAUAUUGGGAGGAAUACCAACAGCGAAGGCAGCUCUCUGGACCGAAACUGACGCUGAGGGGCGAAAGCGUGGGUAGCAAAC
RNAcentral lists this ribosomal RNA (400 nucleotides) under uncultured bacterium. RNAcentral describes it as "bacterial SSU rRNA". It matches the Rfam family "Bacterial small subunit ribosomal RNA", at positions 356 to 773 of the family's 1533-position model. The record is from RNAcentral.